UCAAAACUGAACCGAAAAUGCAAGACUUGCUUUAAUUGUUUUCUGUCAGUGUUUUAUGUAUUGAUCUAGUACAGUCUAAAUAACAUGAGUUCCAUUAUAGUAAAUAAUACAGAAAGAAAUUGAAGGAAAACAAUUAAAGCAAGUCUUGCAUUUUCGGUUCAGUUUUGA
Molecule: microRNA precursor, 168 nt
Filed under: Paramuricea clavata
Lineage: Eukaryota; Metazoa; Cnidaria; Anthozoa; Malacalcyonacea; Plexauridae
Source: RNAcentral